UACGUAGGGGGCUAGCGUUGUCCGGAAUCAUUGGGCGUAAAGCGCGCGUAGGCGGCCCGGUAAGUCCGCUGUAAAAGUCCAGGGCUCAACCCUGGAACGCCGGUGGAUACUGUCGGGCUAGAGUCCGGAAGAGGCGAGUGGAAUUCCUGGUGUAGCGGUGGAAUGCGCAGAUAUCAGGAGGAACACCGAUGGCGAAAGCGGCUCUCUGGUACGGAACUGACGCUGAGACGCGAAAGCGUGGGGAGCGAACAGG
RNAcentral lists this ribosomal RNA (253 nucleotides) under uncultured bacterium. Its description in RNAcentral is "partial 16S ribosomal RNA". It matches the Rfam family "Bacterial small subunit ribosomal RNA", at positions 524 to 776 of the family's 1533-position model. The record is from RNAcentral.